This 2080-nucleotide long non-coding RNA is filed under the name Homo sapiens (human). RNAcentral's name for it is "HSALNT0275420". The record is from RNAcentral. Lineage: Eukaryota; Metazoa; Chordata; Mammalia; Primates; Hominidae.
CUCUGUUUCCACCUUGAUGCAUGGAGAGCUGGAGAGCAGCUGGAGCAGAGAAGGCACUGCAAUGAGGCGGCAACCCGUGCUGGCCAGGGGCCCCAGGGCCCAGAGCCAGGUGGGGUGGACCCCGAGGCCCUGUCUUUCCACAGGUGUCCAGGGUCACUCCCACCCCACCCUUGGCCUCCUGCUGGCUCAGCCCCACACCCCCACCAAAGGGCCAGGCUCCGGGUGAGUGAUCCUCAGGGCCCCCGCACAGGCUGUUCCCUCUGCACACAGGCUAUCCCUGCCUUCCUGUCCAGCCAGUGGGUGGGGAGAAGCGAGUCCCUCCUUUCAGGGAUUCUCAGGAACCGAGUGGCUAUCAGGGUAUGCAGCUGUGAUGCACGUGGCAGGAGAAGACCUCAGACGCCACAGCCUAGCUCUCUGUGGGGCAAGUGUGUCUCAGCCUCUCUCUGAGGAGAGGAGAGCCCCUGGACUGGAGGGUGCCCUGCUCAGCUCUGCCUGGGUAUUCUGUGGCUUGCAGGGUGGAAGGUGAAGGGCUGCAGGCGCUGGCCUUCCCAGGCCCCCCACUGUCUGCCCAGCUUUUCCUUCUUUGGCAGCCCCAGUUCCUUCCUUAUACCCAGUGGGACAGCAGGGCCCAGCCCUAGGGGCCGCAGGAGACAGACAUGCCCCAACUGAGACAGACAAUGGCCAGCAUGGCAGGUGGCCCAGUCUCGGCCACCAGGACGUCCUAGGAGGUACGGCCCCUCAGCUAAGCUGGCUGUCCUUAGUGGCCCAGCUCUGGCUCUGGCUGGUCCUGUGAACUCAAGAUGGCAGACACUGUUCCUGGUCUCAGGCCAGGUCUUGGGUGAAGAACGUUGGGUGUAGGACCCUGUACCUCUCCUCCUGGAACACCCCCAGUGGAUGGCGAGGUCACUGAGGCUCCAUCCAACGGGCAGCCUCCAGGGCAGCCCUCGCUCCUCCCUUGCCCUGGAGGUGGGCACGGGUCAGUGGAAGGAUGGGACUGAGGGGCUGGGCCCUUCACCGACCCUGGAAGGUGGCUCCCUGUGGCCUUCCCUGCAGUUUCCUGGUCCACUGUGGUUCAGCCUAAGACACAGGUGAAGGCCUGGUUAUCACUUGGCUGCUUUUGCCAAAAGAGUGGCUUCCAGUGAAAUCCUUUGGCUGCCGAAAGGCAAAGUCACCCUCCCUCCCUGUGGCCCCAACACCUGCAGGGUUUGUCAGCAGAAGGUUUUCACGGUCCACUGGGCAUUCGCGGGCCUUUGGCAUCCUCGAGGGCCUGCCUUUGAUUAGCACACACCCUUUGCUUGACCCAGAGGGUCCAGAUGGCACUGGCUCCACGGCAUGGCCUUGAGAAUUGAGGCCGGCUUCGGCGAGGAUGGUCCCACCUACUCUGGCCUUCAGGCCUUCACCAGGAGAGAUUCAGGCUGCUGGCCCAGCCAGUCUCUGCAGGGACACCCCGGUGGGCCCAGGGAGGGACUGGGGUCAGCUGGGGCCCUGGACUUACAGUGGAUCCCACUUCCCCCACGUCUUGCUUGGUUCUGGGCAUAAGGGUCCUAGUUCUUAGGGCCUGGCCUGGCCCUCUCACUGCUCCCGGGAAACCUCGGGAAACAUGGCAGGCUGUGUUCCCCAUCCUCAGGCUCCCAAGUCGCUUCUGUCCAGUCCUCUGCUGGUAUCUGUGACUCAGCACCAUGACGGGGCCCUGUCCAGGGCGUCCUGGGCAGAAGGCUGCUCCGAGUGCACAGCGGGCACCCCCAUGGACAGGCUGCGUCCAUGUGCCACUCCUUGGCCGCCCUCUCUUCAUCUGUAGUGAUGACACAGUGACCCCCACCUGCAGGCCUGGUGGCACUGCUGUCACCAGGCACAGGGAGCCUGCCCCCAACCUGGGUGGUGUUGUGGGAGUGGCUGGGCAAGGAACGCUGCUAUCCCUGCUGAGCUGGGUGGGCACUGAUGGGCAUGGGGACCUGGAGUGCUGACCCCUAGCCCUACUGUCGGCAGGCCACGCCUGCCCCUCUGGGGAACUGCUGUGUCCCCCUUGGCUGGCCUAGAAGUGCCUAGAAAUGUCUUUUAUGUGGGGAGUCGGUGGGUGAGG